RNAcentral lists this unclassified non-coding RNA (378 nucleotides) under plant metagenome. Its description in RNAcentral is "partial contains 5.8S ribosomal RNA, internal transcribed spacer 2, and large subunit ribosomal RNA". The stretch from base 1 to 105 matches the Rfam family "5.8S ribosomal RNA", at positions 50 to 154 of the family's 154-position model. The record is from RNAcentral.
GAAAUGCGAUAAGUAAUGUGAAUUGCAGAAUUCAGUGAAUCAUCGAAUCUUUGAACGCACCUUGCGCUCCUUGGUAUUCCUUGGAGCAUGCCUGUUUGAGUAUCAUGAAAUCUUCAAAGUAAAUCUUUUGUUAACUCAAUUGGUUUCUACUUUGGUAUUGGAGGUCUUUGCAGCUUCACACCUGCUCCUCUUUGUUCAUUAGCUGGAUCUCAGUGUUAUGCUUGGUUCCACUCGGCGUGAUAAGUUAUCUAGCGCUGAGGACACUGUAAAAGGUGGCCAAGGUAAAUGCAGAUGAACCGCUUCUAAUAGUCCAUUGACUUGGACAAUACUUUUAUGAUCUGAUCUCAAAUCAGGUAGGACUACCCGCUGAACUUAAGC